GCUACCUCAUCAGACCCUGAAGGUCAGCGUCCCGGCGCUCUCGAACAUAUACUCCUCAGCUCCCCGACGCUAGAGCUCGAUAUCAAACCCUGCAUAAAAGUGCCCCGACGCUGCCAUUACACUCGAAUCCAGCUCCCCGAAGCUGGGAGCAGUUCUUAAACGCUUUUUAAACGCUUAAACUUCUCAUCUAUAAUUAAUCCAACUUCUAUUCCACUUCUACUUUCUCCACACUACUUUGGCACGAUAAAUUCUAGACAUACCCAUUACUUUAACAUCUCCUUGCUCUUUGCACUAAUACUUGGUAGUUCACCAAAAUUGUCUCUCAUAAUUGUUUCCAAGUUGCUCUUUAAAGGAAAAAAGGUAUGUUGCUCACAAUUUCUUCUCCUCAGUCGGUAUAGAUUACAGGUAUCAAUGGCCUACACUAGUAAAUGCAAAAAACACAUAUCUUUCAUAUGAUACCCACUCUGUUUUCUUCUUCUGGGUCAUGCUUGUUAUUACAUAUCAAGUGAGG
RNAcentral lists this long non-coding RNA (511 nucleotides) under Panax ginseng (ginseng). RNAcentral describes it as "long non-coding RNA (PGIN_LNC004434)". Lineage: Eukaryota; Viridiplantae; Streptophyta; Magnoliopsida; Apiales; Araliaceae. The record is from RNAcentral.